AUUGUGUUAAAAUCACUAAAGAGCAAGGACACAGCAUGGCUGGAAAAAUGAUGGGGAGCCAGGAAUAAAGAGUACGAAAUAGGGUGGUAGCCUGGGGUCUCCUGGGAGUAGUAGUCUCCUGGGGGCUCUAGUCUGAUGACAGGUUAAGGAAUGUCAGUGAGGGGACUGUAGAAAAGUCUGAGAACUUCCAUUAGGAGCAAGGACCCUACCCCAGCUCCUGGCCCUAGGGAAGCACUCCCACAAGACAGGACUUCAGAGGGGCCAUGUUCUCCAAGAAACCCAAUUUUUUGUUAGAGCCAGGAGGUGAGGAAUAUCCUGAGAGAGGACUUUGGAGGUUUCGUUGGUCCUGAGCUGAGAAUUCCAGAAGAUGCAGUGGAAAGUUUUCAGGAGUUGAGGAGGAGGUGUAAGAGGAGACAAAAGAGGGGUCUGCAGAGCUUAGAGAGGAUGAAAGUACAGGACAUUGAGGGGACCUGGUGUGACUGAUGGAACAGUUCAGUGGAGUCACUGCUGUGCCUCUUGGUGGAAGCAUUUCACUUUGGGAGCUAAAAACUCUAGGCCAGCAGGGCAUGAGGUCACCAGACAGGAAGCACACACUUUGCUAGUGGGACACUGGGGGCCACUGUGAGAGCUGCCACUCCCAUUCCCAUCCCUUGAUUCCUGGAUCCAGGAAUCCUGGCUGGGGGUGGGGAACAGCACCCACAUGCUGGAUGUUAGUUCAGAGCAUGAGCAGCCCUGCAAGGUGGAGCCAUGUAGCUUGCACUGUCACUGGGUCAUCAAAAGGCCAUGCACCCCUCAUCAAGCCAGCCACCUCAGGAGUGAAGAGAACAACCUAGGAGCAGAGAUUCCUGAGCACAGGCCGUGGUCACUUCACUUCUUUGGCCAUGAAGGGAGUCCCCAGAGCAGAAGCAGAGCUGUGUGGACACCAUGUGAAGUCUAUCUCUCCUGGACUCAGGCUAAAGGAUGUGAAUGCACCUCAGUCAUGAUCUCCAUUAUUAUCAGAUAUAGCCACAACAACCUACUCGCUCCCCUGUCC
Molecule: long non-coding RNA, 1033 nt
Filed under: Marmota monax (woodchuck)
Lineage: Eukaryota; Metazoa; Chordata; Mammalia; Rodentia; Sciuridae
Source: RNAcentral